AUUGAACGCUGGCGGCAGGCCUAACACAUGCAAGUCGAGCGGAUGAAGGGAGCUUGCUCCUGGAUUCAGCGGCGGACGGGUGAGUAAUGCCUAGGAAUCUGCCUGGUAGUGGGGGAUAACGUCCGGAAACGGGCGCUAAUACCGCAUACGUCCUGAGGGAGAAAGUGGGGAAUCUUCGGACCUCACGCUAUCAGAUGAGCCUAGGUCGGAUUAGCUAGUUGGUGGGGUAAAGGCCUACCAAGGCGACGAUCCGUAACUGGUCUGAGAGGAUGAUCAGUCACACUGGAACUGAGACACGGUCCAGACUCCUACGGGAGGCAGCAGUGGGGAAUAUUGGACAAUGGGCGAAAGCCUGAUCCAGCCAUGCCGCGUGUGUGAAGAAGGUCUUCGGAUUGUAAAGCACUUUAAGUUGGGAGGAAGGGCAGUAAGUUAAUACCUUGCUGUUUUGACGUUACCAACAGAAUAAGCACCGGCUAACUUCGU
RNAcentral lists this ribosomal RNA (483 nucleotides) under uncultured bacterium. Its description in RNAcentral is "partial 16S ribosomal RNA". It matches the Rfam family "Bacterial small subunit ribosomal RNA", at positions 30 to 506 of the family's 1533-position model. The record is from RNAcentral.